Molecule: ribosomal RNA, 253 nt
Filed under: uncultured bacterium
Lineage: Bacteria
Description: partial 16S ribosomal RNA
Rfam family: Bacterial small subunit ribosomal RNA
Source: RNAcentral
UACGGGGGGGGCAAGCGUUGUUCGGAAUUACUGGGCGUAAAGGGCUCGUAGGCGGCCAACUAAGUCAGACGUGAAAUCCCUCGGCUUAACCGGGGAACUGCGUCUGAUACUGGAUGGCUUGAGGUUGGGAGAGGGGUGCGGAAUUCCAGGUGUAGCGGUGAAAUGCGUAGAUAUCUGGAGGAACACCGGUGGCGAAGGCGGCAUCCUGGACCAAUUCUGACGCUGAGGAGCGAAAGCCAGGGGAGCAAACGGG